AUGUUGUUCGAAUGCAAAUUGGCAAUGGACGUGUGGAAGAUGCUCGGUCUUGAGCUUGUUAUCAAACAGGCACUAAAAGUUGACAAGGCAGGUGAGCUUGUGUUGGCACAUCUUCUGUGCCUUCCAAAACAACAAAUCCAAGUGUUGGGCUUGCCGAAGUUCAGAGAAAUGAUGGCAACAACGGCUUGGUAUUUGUGGUAUGAAAGGCGAAAAUUGACACAUGACGAAGAAACUCAAAGUGCAUAUCAAAUCAAUAUGUCAGUGAGAGGCUUAGUAGAAAAUUAUACCAUCUCUUACAGCCCAAAGGCUCACAUCCGUUCAGAUGCUUGGUUGAAACCAAAGUAUGAUUACGUGAAAUUAAAUGUUGACGCGGGAUUGAUAGUGACACACUCGCAGCAACAUUUGGAGCAGUUAUCCGGGACCAUAGGGGGAAAUUUAUAG
This 441-nucleotide ribosomal RNA is filed under the name Triticum aestivum (bread wheat). RNAcentral's name for it is "partial small subunit ribosomal RNA". Lineage: Eukaryota; Viridiplantae; Streptophyta; Magnoliopsida; Poales; Poaceae. The record is from RNAcentral.